AAAGGAGAUUAUAUUUUCAUUUACAAUGAAAAUUACCUUAGGGCUCCUUUA
RNAcentral lists this transfer RNA (51 nucleotides) under Gammarus pisinnus. RNAcentral describes it as "tRNA-Val". The record is from RNAcentral. Lineage: Eukaryota; Metazoa; Arthropoda; Malacostraca; Amphipoda; Gammaridae.